GGCCGCGGUAAUACGAAGGGGGCUAGCGUUGUUCGGAAUUACUGGGCGUAAAGCGCACGUAGGCGGAUUGUUAAGUCGGGGGUGAAAUCCCGGGGCUCAACCCCGGAACUGCCUUUGAUACUGGGUAUCUGGAGUAUGGAAGAGGUAAGUGGAAUUCCGAGUGUAGAGGUGAAAUUCGUAGAUAUUCGGAGGAACACCAGUGGCGAAGGCGGCUUACUGGUCCAUUACUGACGCUGAGGUGCGAAAGCGUGGGGAGCAAACA
Molecule: ribosomal RNA, 262 nt
Filed under: uncultured bacterium
Lineage: Bacteria
Description: partial 16S ribosomal RNA
Rfam family: Bacterial small subunit ribosomal RNA
Source: RNAcentral